UGGAGAGUUUGAUCCUGGCUCAGGACGAACGCUGGCGGCGUGCUUAACACAUGCAAGUCGAACGAUGAAGCCUUUCGGGGUGGAUUAGUGGCGAACGGGUGAGUAACACGUGGGCAAUCUGCCCUUCACUCUGGGACAAGCCCUGGAAACGGGGUCUAAUACCGGAUAACACUCUGUCCCGCAUGGGACGGGGUUAAAAGCUCCGGCGGUGAAGGAUGAGCCCGCGGCCUAUCAGCUUGUUGGUGGGGUAAUGGCCUACCAAGGCGACGACGGGUAGCCGGCCUGAGAGGGCGACCGGCCACACUGGGACUGAGACACGGCCCAGACUCCUACGGGAGGCAGCAGUGGGGAAUAUUGCACAAUGGGCGAAAGCCUGAUGCAGCGACGCCGCGUGAGGGAUGACGGCCUUCGGGUUGUAAACCUCUUUCAGCAGGGAAGAAGCGAGAGUGACGGUACCUGCAGAAGAAGCGCCGGCUAACUACGUGCCAGCAGCCGCGGUA
RNAcentral lists this ribosomal RNA (500 nucleotides) under Streptomyces griseus. RNAcentral's name for it is "bacterial SSU rRNA". It matches the Rfam family "Bacterial small subunit ribosomal RNA", at positions 1 to 522 of the family's 1533-position model. RNAcentral also lists the same sequence under 1 other name. The record is from RNAcentral. Lineage: Bacteria; Bacillati; Actinomycetota; Actinomycetes; Kitasatosporales; Streptomycetaceae.